Molecule: long non-coding RNA, 391 nt
Filed under: Phasianus colchicus (ring-necked pheasant)
Lineage: Eukaryota; Metazoa; Chordata; Aves; Galliformes; Phasianidae
Description: lncRNA (ENSPCLG00000003093.1)
Source: RNAcentral
AGCACUGCUUGUCAUAAAACCAUACUAAAUUAUUUUUUAGAUAAGCAUUGUCAUUUGCUAUUGCAGGUUUUAAUGAUUUAAAUAAUUAAUUGAGGUCCUGCUCUGGGAACGAAGGGGAUCAGCUGAACGUUAUCGUGCUGAAGGAGAAUGAUUUCUUUGCUGGGUCUACAGUGCCAUCUACAGCACCAAGACUGCAGCUGAAAAUAAACAGGCUGAAGUGCUGAUAGCCUGUGCUGUCUUUCUCGAAGGAUUUAUACAAGGUGAUGCAAAGCCCUACAAAUUCCUUGUCUCCCUGCUGCUGCUGACUGGGAGUUGUGCUCAAAUGGCAGUUCUAGCACCUAGGUCAUCCCCAUCCAGAUGCAUUUGGAGAGCUGAGCACAGCAAUGUGUAG